GUCCACGCCGUAAACGAUGACAACUAGGUGUCGGGGUCUAAGGACGCUCGGUACCGCAGCCAACGCGUUAAGUUGUCCGCCUGGGGAGUACGGCCGCAAGGCUAAAACUCAAAGGAAUUGACGGGGCCCGCACAAGCAGCGGAGCGUGUGGUUUAAUUCGAUGCAACGCGAAGAACCUUACCUAGUCUUGACAUGUAGGUGGUAGGGAGCCGAAAGGUAACCGACCCUCGGGAGCCUGCACAGGUGCUGCAUGGCUGUCGU
RNAcentral lists this ribosomal RNA (261 nucleotides) under uncultured bacterium. RNAcentral's name for it is "partial 16S ribosomal RNA". It matches the Rfam family "Bacterial small subunit ribosomal RNA", at positions 793 to 1055 of the family's 1533-position model. The record is from RNAcentral.